UCACUAGUGAUUAUUCCGGUUGAUCCUGCCGGAGGCCAUUGCUAUUGGGAUUCGAUUUAGCCAUGCUAGUCGCACGAGUUCAGACUCGUGGCGAAUAGCUCAGUAACACGUGGCCAAACUACCCUUCGGAGCUCCAUACCCUCGGGAAACUGAGGCUAAUAGAGCUCCACCAUCUCGUGAAUGGAUUGUCACGCUCCGGCCAGUGUCGGCGAUAGAGCGUGUACCCACCGUGCAUAUCGUACGUCAUGAGUCGAACCGGACGAUUUACAGAUCGCCUGCGGGCAGCAGCCGACUUACUGCAGCAGGCGUAAGGAAUCCAGUGCGCCAGCUGAGCUGCGCUUUGUACACGUAGGAGGUGUACGAAUAGGCUGGGCAGACCGUGCCAGCGCCGCGGUAAUACCGGCAGCCCGAGUGAUGGCCGAUCUAUUGGGCCUAAAGCGUCCGUAGCUGGCGCACAAGUCCAUCGGAAAUCCACCCGCCCAACGGGUGGGCGUCCGGUGGAAACUGUGUGGCUUGGACCGGAAGGCGCGACGGGUACGUCCGGGGUAGGAGUGAAAUCCCGUAAUCCUGGACGGACCGCCGAUGGCGAAAGCACGUCGCGAGGACGGAUCCGACAGUGAGGGACGAAAGCCAGGGUCUCGAACCGGAUUAGAUACCCGGUAGUCCUGGCCGUAAACAAUGCCUGCUAGGUGUGGCUCCGCUACGAGCGGGUGCUGUGCCGUAGGGAAGCCGCUAAGCAGGCCGCCUGGGAAGUACGUCCGCAAGGAUGAAACUUAAAGGAAUUGGCGGGGGAGCACUACAACCGGAGGAGCCUGCGGUUUAAUUGGACUCAACGCCGGACAUCUCACCAGCUCCGACUAUAGUAAUGACGGUCAGGUUGAUGACCUUACCACGACGCUAUAGAGAGGAGGUGCAUGGGCGCCGUCAGCUCGUACCGUGAGGCGUCCUGUUAAGUCAGGCAACGAGCGAGACCCGCACUUCUAAUUGCCAGCAGCAGUUUCGACUGGCUGGGUACAUUAGAAGGACUGCCGCUGCUAAAGCGGAGGAAGGAACGGGCAACGGUAGGUCAGUAUGCCCCGAAUGAGCUGGGCUACACGCGGGCUACAAUGGUCGAGACAAUGGGUUGCUAUCUCGAAAGAGAACGCCAAUCUCCUAAACUCGAUCGUAGUUCGGAUUGAGGGCUGAAACUCGCCCUCAUGAAGCUGGAUUCGGUAGUAAUCGCAUUUCAAUAGAGUGCGGUGAAUACGUCCCUGCUCCUUGCACACACCGCCCGUCAAAGCACCCGAGUGAGGUCCGGAUGAGGCCACCACACGGUGGUCGAAUCUGGGCUUCGCAAGGGGGCUUAAGUCGUAACAAGGUAGCCGUAGGGGAAUCUGCGGCUUGGAUCACCUCCU
Molecule: ribosomal RNA, 1394 nt
Filed under: bacterium enrichment culture clone BW2RDX
Lineage: Bacteria
Description: bacterial SSU rRNA
Rfam family: Archaeal small subunit ribosomal RNA
Source: RNAcentral